UACGAAGGGGGCUAGCGUUGUUCGGAAUUACUGGGCGUAAAGCGCGCGCAGGCGGUCUUCCAAGUCAGUGGUGAAAGCCUGGAGCUCAACUCCAGAACUGCCAUUGAAACUGUUAGACUUGAGUACGAGAGAGGUGAGUGGAAUUCCCAGUGUAGAGGUGAAAUUCGUAGAUAUUGGGAAGAACACCAGUGGCGAAGGCGGCUCACUGGCUCGUAACUGACGCUCAGACACGACAGCAUGGGGAGCGAACGGG
RNAcentral lists this ribosomal RNA (253 nucleotides) under uncultured bacterium. Its description in RNAcentral is "partial 16S ribosomal RNA". It matches the Rfam family "Bacterial small subunit ribosomal RNA", at positions 524 to 776 of the family's 1533-position model. The record is from RNAcentral.